GACGUAGGGGGCGAGCGUUGUCCGGAUUCAUUGGGCGUAAAGCGCGCGUAGGCGGCCCGGUAAGUCGGAUGUGAAAUCUCACGGCUCAACCGUGGAACUGCAUUUGAUACUGGCGUGCUUGAGGACUGGAGAGGAGACUGGAAUUCAUGGUGUAGCAGUGAAAUGCGUAGAGAUCAUGAGGAAGACCAGUGGCGAAGGCGGGUCUCUGGACAGUUCCUGACACUGAGGCACGAAGGUCAGGGGAGCAAACGGG
This 253-nucleotide ribosomal RNA is filed under the name uncultured bacterium. Its description in RNAcentral is "partial 16S ribosomal RNA". It matches the Rfam family "Bacterial small subunit ribosomal RNA", at positions 524 to 776 of the family's 1533-position model. The record is from RNAcentral.